UAUUUAAAUCAGAUUCUGUACCAGAUGGCUGGCAGAUAGCUAAUGUGAUGCCGAUUUUUAAAAAAGGCUUCAGAGGUGAUCCUGGCAAUUAAAGGCCAGUAAGCCUAGCUUUAGUACCAGGCAAAGUAGUUGAUACUAUAGUAAAGAACAUAAUCAUCAGACACAUAGAUGAACACCAUGUGUUGGGGAAUAGUCAACAUGACUUUUGAAAAGGGAAAUCAUGCCUCACCAAUCUACUAAAU
Long non-coding RNA from Chelonia mydas (Green sea turtle), 242 nucleotides. RefSeq lists it as uncharacterized. NCBI's taxonomy places the organism in Eukaryota, Metazoa, Chordata, Testudines, Cheloniidae. The transcript has 3 exons. The record is from RefSeq and is a predicted model, not a curated record.